This 567-nucleotide ribosomal RNA is filed under the name uncultured Actinomycetes bacterium. Its description in RNAcentral is "bacterial SSU rRNA". It matches the Rfam family "Bacterial small subunit ribosomal RNA", at positions 90 to 651 of the family's 1533-position model. Lineage: Bacteria; Bacillati; Actinomycetota; Actinomycetes. The record is from RNAcentral.
GAUUAGUGGCGAACGGGUGAGUAACACGUGAGUAACCUGCCCCUUACUUUCCUGGAUAACUGCUCGAAAGGGUAGCUAAUACGGGAUAUUCUGACCAGUCUGCAUGGGUUGGUUUGGAAAGGUUUUUUCUGGUAAGGGAUGGGCUCGCGGCCUAUCAGCUUGUUGGUGGGGUGAUGGCCUACCAAGGCUUUGACGGGUAGCCGGCCUGAGAGGGUGGACGGUCACACUGGGACUGAGAUACGGCCCAGACUCCUACGGGAGGCAGCAGUGGGGAAUAUUGCACAAUGGGCGCAAGCCUGAUGCAGCGACGCCGCGUGAGGGAUGAAGGCCUUCGGGUUGUAAACCUCUUUCGUCAGGGAACAAGGCACUGUCUUUUUGGUGGUGUUGAGGGUACCUGGAUAAGAAGCGCCGGCUAACUACGUGCCAGCAGCCGCGGUAAUACGUAGGGCGCAAGCGUUGUCCGGAAUUAUUGGGCGUAAAGAGCUCGUAGGCGGCUGGUCGCGUCUGUCGUGAAAACUUCCGGCUCAACCGGGGGCUUGCGGUGGGUACGGGCCGGCUAGAGUGCGG